Molecule: ribosomal RNA, 2655 nt
Filed under: Triticum aestivum (bread wheat)
Lineage: Eukaryota; Viridiplantae; Streptophyta; Magnoliopsida; Poales; Poaceae
Description: partial small subunit ribosomal RNA
Source: RNAcentral
AUGAAACUCAUUGCUUGGAACUGCCGGGGAUUGGGUAACGGCCCGGCAGUCCGAGGGCUUCUGGAGAUCCAGAAGCGGGAGGACCCAGAUAUUCUUUUCUUGUCCGAAACCAAACUGGAUGAGAGGAGAAUAAAGCAUUUUAAAUGGGUGUUGGGUAUGAAGGAAAUGGUAAUAAAAGACUGUAAAGGAAAAAGUGGAGGGCUAGCAAUGUUUUGGAAGGAUACAGUGAAGGCUGAGCUUCACAAUUUCUCCAAGUACCACAUAGACAUUGAGAUAAUUGAAUACGAUAAUUUUAGAUGGAGGUUUACAGGUAUAUAUGGCGAACCAGCAAGUGACAAAAAGGAAAGGACCUUCAAUUUGCUUCGGGAUCUGAGUGCCCAGCUUGAAAGACCUUGGAUUUGUGUUGGAGAUUUUAAUGAAAUAUUGUAUGGCCAUGAGAAAGAAGGUGGCCCCCCAAGAAUUCAAGCCCACAUGGACAAAUUCAAAGAAACUCUUGAAGAAUGUGGUUUGCAGGACCUGGGCUAUGAGGGGGAUAUAUUCACAUGGAGAAAUCAUAGCCAUUCGGCAGAAAAAUACAUUAAGGAGAGGCUGGAUAGAGCUGUGGCAAAUAUGGAGUGGUGUGACCGUUUUCCUGGUUUCAAGGUAAUAAAUGGGGAUCCCCGACAUUCCGACCAUCGACCAAUCAUAGUGGAAACUGAAGGAAUGUAUUUUAAAAGCAGAAGAGGCACUCCACAUUUCAGAUUUGAAGCAAAUUGGGUGGAAGAAGAGAACUGUGAAACCAUCAUAGAGAAUGCCUGGAAGUUGACAAUGGCACAAGGAACUAAUAACAUUAUUCAAGGCCUUCAAAAGGUGGCUAGUGAGCUUCAAAACUGGAGUACAAAUAUCUUGGGCGAUCUUGAAAAGAGGUUGAAGAUUUUAAAGAGGGAGUUGGAGGAAGUCAGAAGAAGUGCAAUAUCCCCUCUACAAGUCUCUCGUGAAUUGUUCCUACGUGAGAAGCUCGAGCGCCUGGAACAUCAACGAGACCUUUAUUGGAAGCAACGCUCACAUGUCAAUUGGCUUAAAUCAGCCCAGGCAGAAGGAAGUAGCCAAGAAGCUUUAAGUUGCAUAGGAAGAAGAGUGGACCAAAGCAUGAACAAUAUUCUGUGCACUGAAUUUUCUGAAGAUGAGGUGAGAGCAGCCCUUGAUGCAAUAGGGGACUUGAAAGCACCAGGCCCUGAUGGUAUGCCGGCCCUAUUUUACAAGCGCUACUGGCACAUAGUAGGGGAGAAGAUCACUCAAGAAGCUUUGCGGAUACUGAGGGGAGGAGAGAUGCCGAUGGGGUGGAAUGACACAAUGGUGGUGCUUAUUCCAAAAGUAAGCAGACCUAAGAGUUUGAAGGACCUCCGACCCAUAAGCCUCUGCAACGUAGUCUAUAAGAUAGUUUCUAAAGUGCUGACCAAUAGACUAAAGAAUAAAAGAAGAGGGAAAGCCAGCUUUGCAGCACUCAAACUCGACAUGAGCAAGGCGUACGAUCGAAUUGAAUGGACUUUCUUGAGGGACAUGAUGAUAAAGAUGGGGUUUAACUCUUCCUGGGUCAAGCUCAUUAUGAACUGCGUCACCACGGUUCGUUAUCAAAUAAAGAAAGCGGAGGAACGUGGAAAAAUAAUAGGCAUCAAAGUAUGCAAAAGAGCUCCAAGCAUUAAUCAUCUCCUCUUUGCAGAUGAUUCUUUACUGCUCUUCAAAGCUGAAAAUAGGACUGCAAUAGAGAUAAAUCAUAUCCUGGAGACAUAUGCUGGUUGCUCAGGUCAAGUAAUCAAUAAGGAGAAAUCUGCCAUAAUGUUUAGCAAGAAUACCCAGCAUCAGCAGAAGAAUAUGAUCAUGUCAACAUUGCAUAUUACAAGGGAGGCAAGAACAGAGAAGUAUUUAGGGCUGCCAGUGUACAUAGGAAGAUCAAAAGAAAAGGCAUUUGCCUACCUCAAAGACAAAAUUUGGAGGAAAGUUCAAGGAUGGAAAGAAAAAAUGCUCUCAACGGCGGGUAAAGAGAUUCUAAUAAAGGCCGUAGCCCAAGCAGUCCCGGUCUUUGCAAUGGCAUGUUUUGAUCUGACCAAGACUUUAUGUAACCAGAUUAGUGAGAUGAUCUGCAGAUACUGGUGGAGUAAUAUGGACAAAGAACAUAAAAUCCAUUGGGUUAGUCGGGAACAUAUGCUGCCGCCAAAGAAGGAUGGAGGGCUAGGUUUCAGGGAUCUCCAUGUGUUUAACAGAGCCAUGUUAGCGAGGCAAGCAUGGAGGUUAGCAAAUGCGCCCAACUCUCUUUGCGCUAGAGUUCUAUCUGCGAAAUACUACCCAUCAGGUCAGAUUAUUAGAGCAGUGCCAAAGGAUGGCAUGUCUUAUUCGUGGAGAAGCAUCCUUAAAGGAGUUCAACUGCUAAGAGAAGGUGUAAUCUGGAGAAUAGGCAAUGGUGAGAAGGUGAACAUAUGGAAUGACCCAUGGAUCCCACGAGGUAAGAGUAGAAAACCUGCCACUCCCCAAAGAAGGAAUGUCAUCCUCCACAAAGUCUCAGAACUAAUUAACCCAGUAGAUGGUGAUUGGGAUGAAGACCUAAUAAAACAAACGUUUAAUGAGAAAGAUGCAGAGGAAAUUCUGCAAAUACCAAUCAGCGAAGGAAACGAGGACUAG